UUGUAGAGAAAAUACUAUUUUGAAUUUUGGAAAUGAACCUGAUGGAAACUGGAAAGAAAAGCUUGAGAUAUUAAAAUUCGAGUAUUCCUGGGCCAAGAGUGUUGAAGAGGAGGAUAAGAAAACAAUUGAGGAAGCAAAUGCAUCAAUAAAGAUAAGUUACAAUGAGAAAAGCAG
Saccostrea cuccullata (small rock oyster) is the source of this 174-nucleotide long non-coding RNA. RefSeq lists it as uncharacterized. Lineage: Eukaryota; Metazoa; Mollusca; Bivalvia; Ostreida; Ostreidae. The transcript has 3 exons. The record is from RefSeq and is a predicted model, not a curated record.